UAAUGUGAAUUGCAGAAUUCAGUGAACCAUCGAAUCUUUGAACGCACAUUGCGCCCGCCAGCAUUCUGGCGGGCAUGCCUGUCCGAGCGUCAUU
RNAcentral lists this ribosomal RNA (94 nucleotides) under Grosmannia abiocarpa. RNAcentral describes it as "partial 5.8S ribosomal RNA". It matches the Rfam family "5.8S ribosomal RNA", at positions 63 to 154 of the family's 154-position model. Rfam says of the family: 5.8S ribosomal RNA (5.8S rRNA) is a component of the large subunit of the eukaryotic ribosome. It is transcribed by RNA polymerase I as part of the 45S precursor that also contains 18S and 28S rRNA. Functionally, it is thought that 5.8S rRNA may be involved in ribosome translocation. The record is from RNAcentral. Lineage: Eukaryota; Fungi; Ascomycota; Sordariomycetes; Ophiostomatales; Ophiostomataceae.